CGAAAGCCUGACGGAGCAAUACCGCGUGAGGGAAGACGGCCUAUGGGUUGUAAACCUCUUUUCUCAGGGAGGAACUCAAUGACGUGUACCUGAGGAAUAAGCAUCGGCUAACUCCGUGCCAGCAGCCGCGGUAAGACGGAGGAUGCAAGUGUUAUCCGGAAUCACUGGGCGUAAAGCGUCUGUAGGUGGUUUAAUAAGUCAACUGUUAAAUCUUGAGGCUUAACUUCAAAAUCGCAGUCGAAACUAUUAGACUAGAGUAUAGUAGGGGUAAAGGGAAUUUCCAGUGGAGCGGUGAAAUGCGUAGAGAUUGGAAAGAACACCGAUGGCGAAGGCACUUUACUGGGCUAUUACUAACACUCAGAGACGAAAGCUAGGGUAGCA
This 381-nucleotide ribosomal RNA is filed under the name uncultured cyanobacterium. Its description in RNAcentral is "bacterial SSU rRNA". It matches the Rfam family "Bacterial small subunit ribosomal RNA", at positions 376 to 770 of the family's 1533-position model. The record is from RNAcentral. Lineage: Bacteria; Bacillati; Cyanobacteriota.